UACGUACGUGCCUACACUACACCAGCCUCACCGGCGCCGCGGCAGCCGCCACGGGCUCGAGGCCCUUGCAGCUGAGCGACCGUAUGAGCCUCCACGGCGCCCACCCCGCGGCGGAGGAUGGCGGCCGCUCGUUCCCGGCGGGGCCACCGGCCAGAGCCAGCUGCCGCGCCCUCAGGCGCCUCCUGAUCUCGCCCAUGUCCAUGGCCGCCGGCACGCGCGCGGACCCGAACGCCAUGUCGUGCCACCGCACCUGCUGCUUCCUUGGUGUUGGUGGCGCCGCCGGCGUCGCGGCCACGACGCUUGGCGCUCCGCGGCGCGCGCGCAGCUGGGGAGGCUGCGGCUGGGCCGCCGUCGUGGCCGCAGCCUGGGCGACGGUUCUUGGACGCUCCGUGCGCGCGCUGUGCCGGCGCCGCGGCCUGGGUAGGAGUGGCGUGAACUCGAAGCCGUCGUCUUCGUAGUAGUCGGAGGAGGAGGAGGAGGACAGGUGGUAGCGGUGCCCAUGGGCUGCGGUGGUGAGCGCGGCGACGGAUGACGGGGAGAGAGAUGACCCCAUGUCUCUUUCUCUCUCUCUCUCCAGAUAGAGGGGGAGAUGGGAGUGUAUGUGAGCUCGAGGUGUGUGUAUAGAAGCUAGAAAGAGGUGUGUGCCCUUUUGCGUCUUGUGAAGGCCGUGUUUGUGUUGCGGUGAUGACUGAUGAAAAAGUAGAGACUAGAGAGAGAGAUGCCGUGAUGGUUUGCC
RNAcentral lists this unclassified non-coding RNA (736 nucleotides) under Zea mays. RNAcentral describes it as "misc RNA Zm00001eb414680". The record is from RNAcentral. Lineage: Eukaryota; Viridiplantae; Streptophyta; Magnoliopsida; Poales; Poaceae.